GUGGGGGACUAACUUACUAACUUAACUACGAGGAGGAAAAAGCUCGUCUCGCCGAGGAGGGCGUCGAGGAAAAAGAAGCGAAACGUGGAGUUUGGCGCGCGCUGACUCCCGGUGCUGGCGGGGAAACGCGCGAGCUGCUCUCCUCCUCCUCGGCUGAUGUUCAGAUGGUUACACGGAGGGAGAAGAAGGGGAGAAAACAUGCGAGAGGGCGAGAAUCGCCGAUUUGGAUGUUGUUGUUUUUGAUGUUCCAGAUGUGGAGGGUUACACUCCUCUGGUCACACCUGUGAGGGUUGGCGGUUCGAUCCCGGGUGCUGCUAACCUGCACGUCCACGUGUCCUCGAGCAAGACACUUGGCCCAGC
Molecule: long non-coding RNA, 360 nt
Organism: Gasterosteus aculeatus aculeatus (three-spined stickleback)
Lineage: Eukaryota; Metazoa; Chordata; Actinopteri; Perciformes; Gasterosteidae
Source: Ensembl